UCAUACUGUAUAAAAGAAUUUUGUAUUUAAAUUAUGUACCAUGUAUUUGGCGACUCAAGAUGGGUGAUGUAUACCUAUUUUGGGGGCAUCACAAUAUUCGUUAUUAUCACAUCCAUGAAUUAAUAUUUCAUCGCUGAGACUCAGCUCAAUAAACAAUUCACAUAACUGAAUUAUCCAUGCACUAUGGGCCAAGGAUAUUCAUUCGUAUCACAACCACGAAUUAUCC
This 226-nucleotide long non-coding RNA is filed under the name Panax ginseng (ginseng). RNAcentral describes it as "long non-coding RNA (PGIN_LNC012466)". Lineage: Eukaryota; Viridiplantae; Streptophyta; Magnoliopsida; Apiales; Araliaceae. The record is from RNAcentral.